This 254-nucleotide ribosomal RNA is filed under the name uncultured bacterium. RNAcentral describes it as "partial 16S ribosomal RNA". It matches the Rfam family "Bacterial small subunit ribosomal RNA", at positions 524 to 776 of the family's 1533-position model. The record is from RNAcentral.
UACAGAGGGGGCAAGCGUUGUCCGGAAUUAUUGGGCGUAAAGAGCUCGUAGGCGGUUCGGUAAGUCGGGUGUGAAAACUCUGGGCUCAACCCAGAGAGGCCACCCGAUACUGCUGUGACUAGAGUGCGGUAGGGGAGCGGGGAAUUCCUGGUGUAGCGGUGAAAUGCGCAGAUAUCAGGAGGAACACCAGCGGCGAAGGCGCCGCUCUGGGCCGUAACUGACGCUGAGGAGCGAAAGCAUGGGUAGCAAACAGG